CUUCGGAUGGACGCGGAAGCCGGGAGGCUGGAGAAAAAGCAGGAAGGCGCAGUCGCAGCGCGCACUUGGUAUGGACGAAAGAAGAGCAAGUCGGCCUAGGUGGCGCCCAGAAAGUGAGUCGUGUUUGAGUGCCGGCAAGAGAGGCAAGAGCGGCGUCGACAGUGUGAGCGUGCUGCAAGGAGUGGGUCUGGUGGGCCGAGUGCCCACGCCGUGCGCGCGCGCACGCGACUCCGGCGACGACAACGGCGACUCCAAAGAAAGCAACGAACAACGUGAGGAGAGCCCGAACGCAGUGGCAGCGCGGAGAGGAAAAGAGCAGAAGGCAAAACAAACGGGCCUGGUGGGCGGACCCGGGGCGCGCUGCGUCAAACGCAGCCACCAUUUGGCACCCGUAUGUGGGAGUGCCGUCUUACUUAGGGCGCCGCUCGACGACUACUGCGCUUCACUGUGGGCAUGCGACAGGGCGCGCGUCAAGCGAAAUACAAAGCGUGCGGAGAUGUUCUGCAGAGGCGCUCUUCCGCACUGGAGUAGGAGUUCUAGACCGGUGUUCCUAUUUCCGAGAAAGGAGCCCUACAUGGAUUGACGGGCGGCGUAGUAAUGACCGUUGGCCGCCCUGAUAUACCAUGGCAAAGAGAGAGAGAGAGAGAGAGAGAGAGAGAGAGAGAUAGGCAGUUCCCGCAUCGAUAUCGUGUGGUUUCAGGGAAGAAGCGGAUGCAGAGGAAGAAUCGGAAGACCAGUGGGAGGCUCUGCUGGUGACGCAAGACGCUGACAACCAGCUACGGUUGGUGAACAGGGCUCGGGCGGCGGCAGCGAGCCAUGGCUACCUGGACUGAGGAGGCCACCCACCUUUGGGCUCAAGAAGCCUGGUCUAGCAAUAAAGUUUAUUUCUCUCUCA
This 895-nucleotide long non-coding RNA is filed under the name Dermacentor andersoni. RNAcentral describes it as "uncharacterized LOC126542806". The record is from RNAcentral. Lineage: Eukaryota; Metazoa; Arthropoda; Arachnida; Ixodida; Ixodidae.